UGUGGAGUGAUGAGUUGCACCUACCUGUGGGGUGGUUCUGCAGUGGCAAACUGCUCCACUCGGACUCCUGACGACAAGCUUGAGUGCACAGGGGCCAUCUGACCA
This 105-nucleotide small nucleolar RNA is filed under the name Paramormyrops kingsleyae. RNAcentral's name for it is "Small nucleolar RNA SNORD67 (ENSPKIG00000019484.1)". It matches the Rfam family "Small nucleolar RNA SNORD67". From Rfam's summary of the family: snoRNA HBII-166 belongs to the C/D family of snoRNAs. The record is from RNAcentral. Lineage: Eukaryota; Metazoa; Chordata; Actinopteri; Osteoglossiformes; Mormyridae.